CCUACGGGAGGCAGCAGUGGGGAAUUUUGCGCAAUGGGCGAAAGCCUGACGCAGCAACGCCGCGUGGGUGAUGAAGGUCUUCGGAUCGUAAAACCCUGUCGUCAGGGACGAAGGUCGGGGAGUGAACAGCUUCUUGGCUUGACGGUACCUGGAGAGGAAGCCCCGGCUAACUCUGUGCCAGCAGCCGCGGUAAUACAGAGGGGGCAAGCGUUAUUCGGAAUUAUUGGGCGUAAAGGGCGCGUAGGCGGUUUGUUAAGUGAGAUGUGCAAUCCCCGGGCUUAACCUGGGAACUGCAUCUCAGACUGGCAGGCUAGAGUGCUGGAGAGGGUGGUGGAAUUCCACGUGUAGCGGUGAAAUGCGUAGAGAUGUGGAGGAACACCAGUGGCGAAGGCGGCCACCUGGACAGCAACUGACGCUGAGGCGCGAAAGUGUGGGUAGCAAACAGGAUUAGAUACCCGUGUAGUC
This 465-nucleotide ribosomal RNA is filed under the name uncultured bacterium. Its description in RNAcentral is "bacterial SSU rRNA". It matches the Rfam family "Bacterial small subunit ribosomal RNA", at positions 338 to 795 of the family's 1533-position model. The record is from RNAcentral.